CCUACGGGAGGCAGCAGUAGGGAAUCUUCCGCAAUGGACGAAAGUCUGACGGAGCACCGCCGCGUGAGUGAUGAAGGACUUCGGUUCGUAAAGCUCUGUUGUUAGGUAAGAACAAGUGCCGUUCAAAUAGGGCGGCACCUUGACGGUACCUACCCAGAAAGCCACGGCUAACUACGUGCCAGCAGCCGCGGUAAU
This 195-nucleotide ribosomal RNA is filed under the name uncultured bacterium. RNAcentral's name for it is "partial 16S ribosomal RNA". It matches the Rfam family "Bacterial small subunit ribosomal RNA", at positions 338 to 524 of the family's 1533-position model. The record is from RNAcentral.